AUGGUGGAAGGCUCCGCGGUUGACAUCACAAAUCUGAAAUUCCUCCUCCUCUGCUUCCAGCAGAUGUCGAGUCUCAAGAUUAACUUCGACAAGAGCGCGGUCAUGGUUCUCGGCUACGGCCCGGACGAAUGCCAAAGUAUUGCUGACUGCCUUAAUUGCCAGUUGGGUUCCUUCCCCACAUCCUAUCUAGGGAUACCCAUUAGUGACUCUCGGCUGACAGUGGCGGAGCUGCUCCCGACGGUGACUAAGCUACAACACCGAGUCGAACCCUGGCAGGGUAGGUGGCUGUCCAAGGUGGCCCGAACAGUACUCAUUAAUUCCUCGCUAUCUAGCUUGUUGCUGUUCAUCAUGAGCUUCUACAACCUUCAUGAGACCCUUCAUCAUGAGAUAGCCAAGUUUCAAGCGUGUUUCUUCUGGGCGGGGGAGGGCGAUAAGCAAAAGUACCACAUGGUCCGUUGACCCGAGAUCUGUAAGCCGCACGACCAGGGCGGGCUCGGGAUCAUGUCCUCCAAACGCAUGAACAUCGCCCUACUCACACGCUGGCUAUGGCGCAUCGCGAACGGGGAGGGAGGUCUGUGG
Molecule: ribosomal RNA, 579 nt
Filed under: Triticum aestivum (bread wheat)
Lineage: Eukaryota; Viridiplantae; Streptophyta; Magnoliopsida; Poales; Poaceae
Description: partial small subunit ribosomal RNA
Source: RNAcentral